AUUGAACGCUGGCGGCAGGCUUAACACAUGCAAGUCGAGCGGGGUGAUGGUGCUUGCACUAUCACUUAGCGGCGGACGGGUGAGUAAUGCUUAGGAAUCUGCCUAUUAGUGGGGACAGCAUCUCGAAAGGGAUGCUAAUACCGCAUACGUCCUACGGGAGAAAGCAGGGGAUCACUUGUGACCUUGCGCUAAUAGAUGAGCCUAAGUCGGAUUAGCUAGUUGGUGGGGUAAAGGCCUACCAAGGCGACGAUCUGUAGCGGGUCUGAGAGGAUGAUCCGCCACACUGGGACUGAGACACGGCCCAGACUCCUACGGGAGGCAGCAGUGGGGAAUAUUGGACAAUGGGGGGAACCCUGAUCCAGCCAUGCCGCGUGUGUGAAGAAGGCCUUAUGGUUGUAAAGCACUUUAAGCGAGGAGGAGGCUCUUUUGGCUAAUACCCAAGAUGAGUGGACGUUACUCGCAGAAUAAGCACCGGCUAACUCUGUGCCAGCCGCCGCCGUAA
Molecule: ribosomal RNA, 502 nt
Filed under: uncultured bacterium
Lineage: Bacteria
Description: partial 16S ribosomal RNA
Rfam family: Bacterial small subunit ribosomal RNA
Source: RNAcentral